This 488-nucleotide long non-coding RNA is filed under the name Vigna radiata. RNAcentral's name for it is "long non-coding RNA (VRAD_LNC003320)". Lineage: Eukaryota; Viridiplantae; Streptophyta; Magnoliopsida; Fabales; Fabaceae. The record is from RNAcentral.
AGCAACAUCAACAAUUUAUUAGAACAGAAAGCUAAUACUACAAUCAUACCAGAAUCCGCUGAGAAAACUCACUUUUGUCACUCUCGUGAAUUCCUCCGUGAAAUCCAGUAACAAAAUCCCUACUCUACGAAAGACUAAAACCCUAAUCUAAGGAAUAGAGAACUGUAGCAACAAAAUGAAAGUGCGUCUGUGUGUGUCUCCCCCUCUACAACUAUUUACAACCCUUUUUAUAGGAUAAAAAUCCAGAGCAGAGAAAGAAAGAAAAGGGAACAAGAAACCUUCAUCAUAUCUUCUUCAUCCAACGACCCUCUUCACUUUGCUUCAAGCUUUCCAGGCCCUCCGAUCAUCCUCACUAUCUUUGCCGGUUCAGACUCCACACGUGGCACGAGAACUAGAGCUUUCUUUCUCUCACGUGACUUCACUCUCCGCCCGCAUAAGCCUUAACUCUCUAGGGAGUUUUUUCUGCCAAAUGAAGUCACAAAAGUAAA